This 253-nucleotide ribosomal RNA is filed under the name uncultured bacterium. RNAcentral describes it as "partial 16S ribosomal RNA". It matches the Rfam family "Bacterial small subunit ribosomal RNA", at positions 524 to 776 of the family's 1533-position model. The record is from RNAcentral.
UACGAAGGGGGCUAGCGUUGCUCGGAAUCACUGGGCGUAAAGCGCACGUCGGCGGCUUGUUAAGUCAGGGGUGAAAUCCUGGAGCUCAACUCCAGAACUGCCUUUGAUACUGGCGAUCUUGAGUCCGGGAGAGGUGAGUGGAACUGCGAGUGUAGAGGUGAAAUUCGUAGAUAUUCGCAAGAACACCAGUGGCGAAGGCGGCUCACUGGCCCGAUACUGACGCUGAGGCACGAAAGCGUGGGGAGCAAACAGG